Molecule: ribosomal RNA, 468 nt
Filed under: uncultured bacterium
Lineage: Bacteria
Description: partial 16S ribosomal RNA
Rfam family: Bacterial small subunit ribosomal RNA
Source: RNAcentral
GACGAACGCUGGCGGCGUGCUUAACACAUGCAAGUCGAGCGGAAAGGCCCUGCUUUUGUGGGGUGCUCGAGUGGCGAACGGGUGAGUAACACGUGAGUAACCUGCCCUUGACUUUGGGAUAACUUCAGGAAACUGGGGCUAAUACCGGAUAGGAGCUCCUGCUGCAUGGUGGGGGUUGGAAAGUUUCGGCGGUUGGGGAUGGACUCGCGGCUUAUCAGCUUGUUGGUGGGGUAGUGGCUUACCAAGGCUUUGACGGGUAGCCGGCCUGAGAGGGUGACCGGCCACAUUGGGACUGAGAUACGGCCCAGACUCCUACGGGAGGCAGCAGUGGGGAAUAUUGCACAAUGGGCGGAAGCCUGAUGCAGCAACGCCGCGUGCGGGAUGACGGCCUUCGGGUUGUAAACCGCUUUCGCCUGUGACGAAGCGUGAGUGACGGUAAUGGGUAAAGAGGCACCGGCUAACUACGUG